GGACCCCCUCGCGCAGCGGCUGCCGGAGUUCCCGGGCCGCCGCGCCCGCCCUCCCAGUCCCCGGGGCUCGCAGCCCGCACGCCGGACACCGCCGCCCUCCACAGACUCCGCCCCACGGCCCCUCCUGGGCCCUCCGUGCGAGUCCUCGCGCCAGCACCGCCAGGACCGAGGUCCCUUAGGGCUCGGCGGCCCGAGCCUCGCCGCGGAAGGGGAGAGCGCUGGGCGGCGGCCCCCUCCCGGGCGGCGGGCUCCGGGUCCUGCAGCUCCGCGGGCCGCCGCUGGGGGCUUUGGCGCGGGAGCCGGCGGGGACGGGGACGGCGCGCUCGGCCGCAGGUUCCGGCGCCUGGGCCGCUCGCUUCUUCCCUCGCCGCGCUGCCUCCGCAGCCCGGCUGGCUUCCUCCUGGAUCUGUGCGUGUGACCGCCGCGUGUGUGUGCGUGCGUGCAUGUGUGUGCGCGUGUGUAUGUGAGAGGGAGGAGCGCGCGCGUGGGGGCAGUGUGCACACGGGGAGUGCGGGGGAGUGUGUUUGUGUGUGGGGGUGGGUGUGAGUGCCCGGCACACACGCACGCACACACACACACACGCACACUCCGGCAGGCUCGUCUGAACUUGAAGACACCCCGCAUUCCAAGAUGCCCGAGGUUCCUGGGAAUGCCCAGGGUUCUGCGCUCCGGAAAAUCCCGCUGGCAUCUUCCUAAGAAGGAAUUAUCUUCUCUUUGCUUUUUUUUUUUUUUUUUUUAAUCUGGAGGAGAGGAGAACAAGUUGUGCUUUCCCCUCCCCUUCUUCCUGGUAAAUGCCAUGGAUAUAUCCGAAUAAGCCGCUCAGGGCUCUCCCCGCGUGGACGUCGGAGGCCACCAUCUGCCCGCAGUCGCCGGAGCCCGAGGGCUUAGUUGGAGCCCGACUUGGGCGAGGGAAGGAUGCGCGGCCGAGCCAGGGAGCCCGGCCGCCCCGCGGAGCCGGCCUCAGAGCCUCCCAGCCGGGGGUAGAUGCUGCCCUGCCCAGAAUUCGAGGAAGAGAAUGUUGGUAAAGGCGUGGGCAGUCCACAGAGGCUGUGGGAUGCCAGGACCAGCAACUGGGAAGGUUGCUGCCUGCCCCAGCCGGAGGGGAAAGCAGGACAAGAACCCAGGCACAGAAGGGAGGAGCCGCCGUCAGGCCCUUCACACGCAUCAGCUGGUGCAGCCGAGGGGCAGAGCCCAGCUGGUAGAUGGCAGAGCUGGGACUCAAACCUGGGUCAGCAGCUCCCGAUUCAUCACUCUGGAUGUCACGCCUUCCCGGUCGGCGGGUGCUGGCCUCCUGCGGGGACAGCAUCCCCCCAGUCCAGCAGGUGACUUCUCUCUGCCACCGUUCCCUCCAGCAGGGGAAAA
This 1362-nucleotide long non-coding RNA is filed under the name Heterocephalus glaber (naked mole-rat). Its description in RNAcentral is "lncRNA (ENSHGLG00100034044.1)". Lineage: Eukaryota; Metazoa; Chordata; Mammalia; Rodentia; Bathyergidae. The record is from RNAcentral.